This 197-nucleotide small nuclear RNA is filed under the name Solanum lycopersicum (tomato). RNAcentral describes it as "U2 spliceosomal RNA". It matches the Rfam family "U2 spliceosomal RNA". From Rfam's summary of the family: U2 is a small nuclear RNA (snRNA) component of the spliceosome (involved in pre-mRNA splicing). Complementary binding between U2 snRNA (in an area lying towards the 5' end but 3' to hairpin I) and the branchpoint sequence (BPS) of the intron results the bulging out of an unpaired adenosine, on the BPS, which initiates a nucleophilic attack at the intronic 5' splice site, thus starting the first of two transesterification reactions that mediate splicing. The record is from Rfam by way of RNAcentral. Lineage: Eukaryota; Viridiplantae; Streptophyta; Magnoliopsida; Solanales; Solanaceae.
AUACCUUUCUCGGCCUUUUGGCUAAGAUCAAGUGUAGUAUCUGUUCUUAUCAGUUUAAUAUCUGAUAUGUGGGCCAUUGGUCCACACGAUAUUAACUCAAUUUUUUAAGGGGAAGGGCCCAUCAAGGUAGCUUGCUACCCUGGACUCUCAAGCGUCGCCCAUGCGUUGCACUACUGCACGGGCCUGGCGCACCCCAC